This 274-nucleotide ribosomal RNA is filed under the name uncultured bacterium. RNAcentral's name for it is "partial 16S ribosomal RNA". It matches the Rfam family "Bacterial small subunit ribosomal RNA", at positions 524 to 796 of the family's 1533-position model. The record is from RNAcentral.
GACGGAGAAAACUAACGUUGUUCGGAAUUACUAGGCGUAAAACGCGCGUAGGCAGCGCAUUAAGUCAGAGGUGAAAGCCCGGGGCUCAACCCCGGAAUUGCCUUUGAGACUGGUGUGCUUGAGUACGGAAGAGGUGAGUGGAAUUCCCAGUGUAGAGGUGAAAUUCGUAGAUAUUGGGAAGAACACCAGUGGCGAAGGCGGCUCACUGGUCCGUAACUGACGCUGAGGUGCGAAAAACGUGGGGAGCAAACAGGAUUAGAUACCCGCGUAGUCC